This 345-nucleotide unclassified non-coding RNA is filed under the name soil metagenome. RNAcentral describes it as "partial contains 5.8S ribosomal RNA, internal transcribed spacer 2, and large subunit ribosomal RNA". The stretch from base 1 to 120 matches the Rfam family "5.8S ribosomal RNA", at positions 35 to 154 of the family's 154-position model. The record is from RNAcentral.
GAUGAAGAACGUAGCGAAAUGCGAUAAGUAAUGUGAAUUGCAGAACUCAGUGAAUCAUCGAAUCUUUGAACGCACAUUGCGCCCUCUGGUAUUCCGGGGGGCAUGCCUGUCCGAGCGUCAUUGCUGCCCUCAAGCACGGCUUGUGUGUUGGGCCUCCGUCCUCCUCCCGGGGGACGGGCCCGAAAGGCAGCGGCGGCACCGCGUCCGGUCCUCGAGCGUAUGGGGCUUCGUCACCCGCUCUUGUAGGCCCGGCCGGCGCUUGCCGACACAUCAAUCUUUUUUCCAGGUUGACCUCGGAUCAGGUAGGGAUACCCGCUGAACUUAAGCAUAUCAAUAAGCGGAGGA